This is a long non-coding RNA of Mangifera indica (mango), 1161 nucleotides long. RefSeq lists it as uncharacterized. The transcript has 3 exons. Lineage: Eukaryota; Viridiplantae; Streptophyta; Magnoliopsida; Sapindales; Anacardiaceae. The record is from RefSeq and is a predicted model, not a curated record.
UUUUUUUGGUGGUUGUCAAAUUUCAUCUUCCCGUGUGCUUCAGCCUCAAUGCCAUGGGUGUGAAAUUUCAUCUUCUAGCGCGUUUCAGCCUCAACGUUUCCUCCUCCUCCUCCUCAGAAAGUUAAGAUGAGGGAAUAAUAAAGGGAUGGUGAAAAGGGUGAAAGGCAAUAUUGCAUGAAGAGAUGAGGUAUCUGCAUGUAAGAGGAACCACACAAGGAAUGAUAUAGAAGCAUAUCAUGCAGAAGAUAGCAUGUGGUGGCUCCUACUCACUGCCUUGGUACUCACAAUUCUCGACAAAUCCAAUCAGUAAACAUGAACAAUUGUACCAUGUUAUUUACAUUAUUUAUUUAUUUGCAGAGAGAAAUGUUUGAUAUGAUUCUCUAAGCUCAAUUGGGUGAGCUUUGUUUGUUUGUUCUUUCAUCUCUAUCCUCCAUUUUUGAAUCAGCAUUGGGUGGAUUGUAAGCUUUAAGUGGAGCUGUUGCAUUCUGAGCCACAACUUCAUUCUUACUUCCUUUCAAGGACUGAUCUCUUAUUCUUCAGACAUUAUUUAUCAAUGAAUGAGGUAAUGAAGUUCUUUCAGACCCAAUAAAGAGCCCAAACUCAGAGUUGCCAGUCGUAAAACUCUCUCUCCUGCUGCUUCCCUUUGGUGAAGAAAAGGACAGUGUAAACAUUAUUCAACAGUCCAAACAGAGUGGGUCAGGGACUCAGAAAUCACUUUUUGCGGCAUCUGUGUUGUUUAAACUUUAAGAAAUUAAAUGGCUUUUUCCAUAAAAACAAUCACAGGGACGGCAGAAAAUUUGGGCAAUCUCUUCACAGCCAGCCUGGUUUUUAUGCGAAAAUGGUUCCAUUUCAUCAAGCACGUAAACAAAUUGACUCAACAGUAUGAAUGCUUUUAUAUUUUGUAUCAUCAUCCAAAUUCAUGAUUUAAAGGAGUCCCUUAAUCACUGCGGGAGGCCUAAGGCGGCUCUCACUUGCCUGGCAUAUCUCAUAUUAAGAUACACCUAAACCUAAUCUUAUCUUCACUUUAUAAUUACACAAUCAUUGAAUCAAUUAUUGAUUCUCGGUGGAAGCAUUAUGAAAAAUAUUGUCUAUCAAUAAUAAGACUCGGCAAUCUUCAUAGACGUCAUUAUAAACUCGCAACCAGAGAGCCCGAGACAAAAU